UUAACAAAUUUUGCUUUUCGCUCAGACUGCAAACUUCAGACAGCGUUCAAUGGUGUCUUCGGCGGGCGCGGGCCAGAGGGCAGAAGCCCCCCGGCGGCCGUGAGGCGGGCCCGCCGAAGCAACAAGGUACGAUAAACACGGGUGGGAGGUUGGACCCAGAGGGCCCUCACUCGGUAAUGAUCCUUCCGCAGGUUCACCUACGGAAA
RNAcentral lists this unclassified non-coding RNA (206 nucleotides) under uncultured fungus. RNAcentral describes it as "sequence contains ITS1". Lineage: Eukaryota; Fungi. The record is from RNAcentral.